RNAcentral lists this ribosomal RNA (541 nucleotides) under uncultured bacterium. RNAcentral describes it as "bacterial SSU rRNA". It matches the Rfam family "Bacterial small subunit ribosomal RNA", at positions 212 to 745 of the family's 1533-position model. The record is from RNAcentral.
CUUGCGUUAGUGGAGCGGCCGACGUCUGAUUAGCUAGUUGGUGAGGUAAAGGCUCACCAAGGCGACGAUCAGUAGCUGGUCUGAGAGGAUGAUCAGCCACACUGGAACUGAGACACGGUCCAGACUCCUACGGGAGGCAGCAGUGGGGAAUUUUGGACAAUGGGCGAAAGCCUGAUCCAGCAAUGCCGCGUGCAGGAUGAAGGCCUUCGGGUUGUAAACUGCUUUUGUACGGAACGAAACGGUCUGCCUUAAUACGGUGGGCUAAUGACGGUACCGUAAGAAUAAGCACCGGCUAACUACGUGCCAGCAGCCGCGGUAAUACGUAGGGUGCGAGCGUUAAUCGGAAUUACUGGGCGUAAAGCGUGCGCAGGCGGUUAUAUAAGACAGAUGUGAAAUCCCCGGGCUCAACCUGGGACCUGCAUUUGUGACUGUAUAGCUAGAGUACGGUAGAGGGGGAUGGAAUUCCGCGUGUAGCAGUGAAGUGCGUAGAUAUGCGGAGGAACACCGAUGGCGAAGGCAAUCCCCUGGACCUGUACUGACG